This 497-nucleotide ribosomal RNA is filed under the name uncultured bacterium. RNAcentral's name for it is "partial 16S ribosomal RNA". It matches the Rfam family "Bacterial small subunit ribosomal RNA", at positions 28 to 507 of the family's 1533-position model. The record is from RNAcentral.
GAUGAACGCUGGCGGCGUGCCUAAUACAUGCAAGUCGAGCGAACGGACGAGAAGCUUGCUUCUCUGAUGUUAGCGGCGGACGGGUGAGUAACACGUGGAUAACCUACCUAUAAGACUGGGAUAACUUCGGGAAACCGGAGCUAAUACCGGAUAAUAUUUUGAACCGCAUGGUUCAAAAGUGAAAGACGGUCUUGCUGUCACUUAUAGAUGGAUCCGCGCUGCAUUAGCUAGUUGGUAAGGUAACGGCUUACCAAGGCAACGAUGCAUAGCCGACCUGAGAGGGUGAUCGGCCACACUGGAGCUGGGACACGGUCCAGACUCCUACGGGAGGCAGCAGUAGGGAAUCUUCCGCAAUGGGCGAAAACCUGACGGAGCAACGCCGCGUGAGUGAUGAAGGUCUUCGGAUCGAAAAACUCUGUUAUUAGGGAAGAACAUAUGUGUAAGUAACUGUGCACAUCUUGACGGUACCUAAUCAGAAAGCCACGGCUAACUACGUG